RNAcentral lists this transfer RNA (85 nucleotides) under Synergistota bacterium. RNAcentral's name for it is "Synergistetes bacterium tRNA-Leu". It matches the Rfam family "tRNA". Rfam says of the family: Transfer RNA (tRNA) molecules are approximately 80 nucleotides in length. Their secondary structure includes four short double-helical elements and three loops (D, anti-codon, and T loops). Further hydrogen bonds mediate the characteristic L-shaped molecular structure. tRNAs have two regions of fundamental functional importance: the anti-codon, which is responsible for specific mRNA codon recognition, and the 3' end, to which the tRNAs corresponding amino acid is attached (by aminoacyl-tRNA synthetases). tRNAs cope with the degeneracy of the genetic code in two manners: having more than one tRNA (with a specific anti-codon) for a particular amino acid; and 'wobble' base-pairing, i.e. permitting non-standard base-pairing at the 3rd anti-codon position. The record is from RNAcentral. Lineage: Bacteria; Thermotogati; Synergistota. RNAcentral also lists the same sequence under 1 other name.
GCGAGGGUGGUGGAACUGGUAGACACGCUGGACUUAGGAUCCAGUGGCUUAGGCCGUAGGGGUUCGAGUCCCCUCCUUCGCACCA